RNAcentral lists this transfer RNA (76 nucleotides) under Planctomycetota bacterium. RNAcentral's name for it is "Planctomycetes bacterium (rhizosphere metagenome) tRNA-Pro". It matches the Rfam family "tRNA". From Rfam's summary of the family: Transfer RNA (tRNA) molecules are approximately 80 nucleotides in length. Their secondary structure includes four short double-helical elements and three loops (D, anti-codon, and T loops). Further hydrogen bonds mediate the characteristic L-shaped molecular structure. tRNAs have two regions of fundamental functional importance: the anti-codon, which is responsible for specific mRNA codon recognition, and the 3' end, to which the tRNAs corresponding amino acid is attached (by aminoacyl-tRNA synthetases). tRNAs cope with the degeneracy of the genetic code in two manners: having more than one tRNA (with a specific anti-codon) for a particular amino acid; and 'wobble' base-pairing, i.e. permitting non-standard base-pairing at the 3rd anti-codon position. The record is from RNAcentral. Lineage: Bacteria; Pseudomonadati; Planctomycetota. RNAcentral also lists the same sequence under 1 other name.
CUGGAUGUAGGAGAGCCUGGCAUCAUCCGCCGGUUUCGGAAACCGGACCACGCUGGUUCAAAUCCAGCCAUCCAGA